AUUGAACGCUGGCGGCAUGCCUUACACAUGCAAGUCGAACGGUAACGCGGGGGCAACCCUGGCGACGAGUGGCGAACGGGUGAGUAAUACAUCGGAACGUGUCCUGUUGUGGGGGAUAACCCAUCGAAAGGUGAGCUAAUACCGCAUGAUCUGGAGACAGCAAAGCAGGGGACCGGAAACGGCCUUGCGCGAUUGGAGCGGCCGAUGUCCGAUUAGCUAGUUGGCGGGGUAAAGGCCACCAAGGCAACGAUCGGUAGCUGGUCUGAGAGGAUGAUCAGCCACACUGGGACUGAGACACGGCCCAGACUCCUACGGGAGGCAGCAGUGGGGAAUUUUGGACAAUGGGGGCAACCCUGAUCCAGCCAUGCCGCGUGAGUGAAGAAGGCCU
Molecule: ribosomal RNA, 388 nt
Filed under: uncultured bacterium
Lineage: Bacteria
Description: bacterial SSU rRNA
Rfam family: Bacterial small subunit ribosomal RNA
Source: RNAcentral